RNAcentral lists this ribosomal RNA (235 nucleotides) under uncultured bacterium. RNAcentral's name for it is "partial 16S ribosomal RNA". It matches the Rfam family "Bacterial small subunit ribosomal RNA", at positions 96 to 334 of the family's 1533-position model. The record is from RNAcentral.
UGGCGGACGGGUGAGUAAUGUCUGGGAAACUGCCUGAUGGAGGGGGAUAACUACUGGAAACGGUAGCUAAUACCGAAUAACGUCGCAAGACCAAAGAGGGGGACCUUAGGGCCUCUUGCCAUCGGAUGUGCCCAGAUGGGAUUAGCUAGUAGGUGGGGUAACGGCUCACCUAGGCGACGAUCCCUAGCUGGUCUGAGAGGAUGACCAGCCACACUGGAACUGAGACACGGUCCAG